This 459-nucleotide ribosomal RNA is filed under the name uncultured bacterium. RNAcentral describes it as "partial 16S ribosomal RNA". It matches the Rfam family "Bacterial small subunit ribosomal RNA", at positions 338 to 795 of the family's 1533-position model. The record is from RNAcentral.
CCUACGGGAGGCAGCAGUGAGGAAUAUUGGUCAAUGGGCGGGAGCCUGAACCAGCCAAGCCGCGUGAGGGAAGAAGGUGCAGCGUAUCGUAAACCUCUUUUGUCAGGGAACAAAGUCGGGCACUAGUCCCCGGCUGAGGGUACCUGACGAAAAAGCAUCGGCUAACUCCGUGCCAGCAGCCGCGGUAAUCCGGAGGAUGCGAGCGUUAUCCGGAUUUAUUGGGUUUAAAGGGUGCGCAGGCGGGCUGUUAAGUCAGCGGUAAAAGCCCGGGGCUCAACCCCGGCGAGCCGUUGAAACUGGCGGGCUGGAGUUGGAGAGAAGUAUGCGGAAUGCGCGGUGUAGCGGUGAAAUGCUUAGAUAUCGCGCAGAACCCCGAUUGCGAAGGCAGCGUACCGGCGCCAAACUGACGCUGAGGCACGAAAGCGUGGGUAUCGAACAGGAUUAGAUACCCCAGUAGUC